This 673-nucleotide ribosomal RNA is filed under the name uncultured fungus. RNAcentral's name for it is "eukaryotic LSU rRNA". The stretch from base 199 to 352 matches the Rfam family "5.8S ribosomal RNA". Lineage: Eukaryota; Fungi. The record is from RNAcentral.
GCGAAGGAUCAUUAUUGUAUAACACGAGACAUUGAGGCUGUCGCUGACGAAAGUCGUGCACGCCUUGGUGUUCUUACAUCCAUUUCACCCUUGUGCAUCAUCGCGUGGGCCGUUCCCAUUGGGAAUGGUCUACGUUUUUAAUACAAACCCCUAUUGAUGUGUAGAAUGUGUACUUUGCGAUAACAACGCAACUAAUACAACUUUCAACAACGGAUCUCUUGGCUCUCGCAUCGAUGAAGAACGCAGCGAAAUGCGAUAAGUAAUGUGAAUUGCAGAAUUCAGUGAAUCAUCGAAUCUUUGAACGCACCUUGCGCCCUUUGGUAUUCCGAAGGGCAUGCCUGUUUGAGUGUCAUUAAAUUAUCAACCUUGCUCGCUUUUACCGGCUUGAGUUAGGCUUGGACUUGAGGGCUUGCUGGCUUCCUUCAGUGGACGGUCUGCUCCCUUUAAAUGCAUUAGUGGGAUCUCUUGUGGACCGUCACUUGGUGUGAUAAUUAUCUAUGCCACUUGACCUUGAAGCAAACCUUAUGGGAAACCCGCUCAUAACCGUCUUCGGACAGCUUUUGACAUUUUGACCUCAAAUCAGUAGGACUACCCGCUGAACUUAAGCAUAUCAUAAGCGGAGGAAAAGAAACUAACAGGAUUCUCCUUAGUAACUGCGAGUGAGAGGGAGAGC